This 497-nucleotide ribosomal RNA is filed under the name uncultured bacterium. RNAcentral's name for it is "partial 16S ribosomal RNA". It matches the Rfam family "Bacterial small subunit ribosomal RNA", at positions 28 to 507 of the family's 1533-position model. The record is from RNAcentral.
GAUGAACGCUGGCGGCGUGCCUAAUACAUGCAAGUCGAGCGAACGGACGAGAAGCUUGCUUCUCUGAUGUUAGCGGCGGACGGGUGAGUAACACGUGUAUAACCUACCUAUAAGACUGGGAUAACUUCGGGAAACCGGAGCUAAUACCGGAUAAUAUUUUGAACCGCAUGGGUCAAAAGUGAAAUACGGUCUUGCUGUCACUUAUAGAUGGAUCCGCGCUGCAUUAGCUAGUUGGUAAGGUAACGGGUUACCAAGGCAACGAUGCAUAGCCGACCUGAGAGGGUGAUCGGCCACACUGGAGCUGAGACGCGGUCCAGACUCCUACGGGAGGCAGCAGUAGGGAAUCGUCCGCAAUGGGCGAGAGCCUGACGGAGCAACGCCGCGUGAGUGAUGACGGUCUUCGGAUCGUAAAACUCUGUUAUUAGGGAAGAACAUACGUGUAAGUAACUGUGCACAUCUUGACGGUACCUAAUCAGAAAGCCACGGCUAACUACGUG